This 71-nucleotide transfer RNA is filed under the name Loxodonta africana (African savanna elephant). It matches the Rfam family "tRNA". Rfam says of the family: Transfer RNA (tRNA) molecules are approximately 80 nucleotides in length. Their secondary structure includes four short double-helical elements and three loops (D, anti-codon, and T loops). The record is from Rfam by way of RNAcentral. Lineage: Eukaryota; Metazoa; Chordata; Mammalia; Proboscidea; Elephantidae.
GCAAUGGUGGUUCAGUGGUAGAAUUCUCAACUCCCAUGCAGGAGACCCAGGUUUGAUUUCUGGCCAGAGCA